RNAcentral lists this transfer RNA (65 nucleotides) under Macrotermes muelleri. RNAcentral describes it as "tRNA-Pro". Lineage: Eukaryota; Metazoa; Arthropoda; Insecta; Blattodea; Termitidae. The record is from RNAcentral.
CAGGGGGUAUUUUAUUUAAAAUGUUAAUUUUGGGGAUUAAUGAAAUGGGGCUUCCUUUCCUCUGA